UAGUCCACGCUGUAAACGAUGAGUACUAGCUGUUGGGCCUGGUGUAAAAGGUUUAGUGGCGCAGCUAACGCGUUAAGUACUCCGCCUGGGGACUACGGCCGCAAGGUUAAAACUCAAAGGAAUUGACGGGGACUCGCACAAGCGGUGGAGCAUGUGGUUUAAUUCGAUGCAACGCGAAGAACCUUACCUACCCCUGACAUCCUAGGAAGACGAAAGAGAUUUUGUUGUGCCUUCGGGAACUUAGAGACAGGUGCUGCAUGGCUGUCGUCAGCUCGUGUUGUGAGAUGUUGGGUUAAGUCCCGCAACGAGCGCAACCCUUAUGUUUAGUUGCCAUCAUUAAGUUGGGCACUCUAAAGAGACUGCCGCUGAUAAGGCGGAGGAAGGUGGGGACGACGUCAAGUCAUCAUGGCCCUUACGGGUAGGGCUACACACGUGCUACAAUGGGCAUUACAGAGGGCAGCUAAGGGGCGACCUGGAGCGAAACCCAGAAAGGUGUUCGUAGUCCGGAUUGAUCU
RNAcentral lists this ribosomal RNA (515 nucleotides) under uncultured bacterium. Its description in RNAcentral is "bacterial SSU rRNA". It matches the Rfam family "Bacterial small subunit ribosomal RNA", at positions 791 to 1304 of the family's 1533-position model. The record is from RNAcentral.